GACCGCGUAGCUCAGUUGGCAGAGCAUUGGGCUGGCAUUCCAAAGGUCGUAGGUUCGAUUCCCACCGUGGUCA
RNAcentral lists this transfer RNA (73 nucleotides) under Paramuricea clavata. It matches the Rfam family "tRNA". Rfam says of the family: Transfer RNA (tRNA) molecules are approximately 80 nucleotides in length. Lineage: Eukaryota; Metazoa; Cnidaria; Anthozoa; Malacalcyonacea; Plexauridae. The record is from Rfam by way of RNAcentral.